Molecule: ribosomal RNA, 460 nt
Filed under: uncultured bacterium
Lineage: Bacteria
Description: partial 16S ribosomal RNA
Rfam family: Bacterial small subunit ribosomal RNA
Source: RNAcentral
CCUACGGGGUGCAGCAGUGAGGAAUAUUGGUCAAUGGGCGCGAGCCUGAACCAGCCAAGUAGCGUGAAGGAUGACUGCCCUACGGGUUGUAAACUUCUUUUAUAAAGGAAUAAAGUGAGGCACGUGUGCCUUUUUGUAUGUACUUUAUGAAUAAGGAUCGGCUAACUCCGUGCCAGCAGCCGCGGUAAUACGGAGGAUCCGAGCGUUAUCCGGAUUUAUUGGGUUUAAAGGGAGCGUAGAUGGGUUGGUAAGUCAGUUGUGAAAGUUUGCGGCUCAACCGUAAAAGUGCAAUUGAUACUGGCAGCCUUGAGUACAGUUGAGGUAGGCGGAAUGCGUGGUGUAGCGAUGAAAUGCUUAGAUAUCACGAAGAACUCCGAUUGCGAAGGCAGCUUACUAAACUGCCACUGACAUUGAUGCUCGAAAGUGUGGGUAUCAAACAGGAUUAGAUACCCCGGUAGUC